This 435-nucleotide ribosomal RNA is filed under the name uncultured Flavobacterium sp. Its description in RNAcentral is "bacterial SSU rRNA". It matches the Rfam family "Bacterial small subunit ribosomal RNA", at positions 358 to 790 of the family's 1533-position model. The record is from RNAcentral. Lineage: Bacteria; Pseudomonadati; Bacteroidota; Flavobacteriia; Flavobacteriales; Flavobacteriaceae.
GGAAUAUUGGACAAUGGGCGCAAGCCUGAUCCAGCCAUGCCGCGUGCAGGAUGACGGUCCUAUGGAUUGUAAACUGCUUUUAUACGAGAAGAAACAACUCUACGUGUAGAGUCUUGACGGUAUCGUAAGAAUAAGGAUCGGCUAACUCCGUGCCAGCAGCCGCGGUAAUACGGAGGAUCCAAGCGUUAUCCGGAAUCAUUGGGUUUAAAGGGUCCGUAGGCGGUUUAAUAAGUCAGUGGUGAAAGCCCAUCGCUCAACGGUGGAACGGCCAUUGAUACUGUUAGACUUGAAUUAUUAGGAAGUAACUAGAAUAUGUAGUGUAGCGGUGAAAUGCUUAGAGAUUACAUGGAAUACCAAUUGCGAAGGCAGGUUACUACUAAUUGAUUGACGCUGAUGGACGAAAGCGUGGGUAGCGAACAGGAUUAGAUACCCGGG